GACGAACGCUGGCGGCGUGCCUAAUACAUGCGAGUUGAGCGCUGAAGGUUGGUACUUGUACCGACUGGAUGAGCAGCGAACGGGUGAGUAACGCGUGGGGAAUCUGCCUUUGAGCGGGGACAACAUUUGGAAACGAAUGCUAAUACCGCAUAAAAACUUUAAACACAAGUUUUAAGUUUGAAAGAUGCAAUUGCAUCACUCAAAGAUGAUCCCGCGUUGUAUUAGCUAGUUGGUGAGGUAAAGGCUCACCAAGGCGAUGAUACAUAGCCGACCUGAGAGGGUGAUCGGCCACAUUGGGACUGAGACACGGCCCAAACUCCUACGGGAGGCAGCAGUAGGGAAUCUUCGGCAAUGGACGAAAGUCUGACCGAGCAACGCCGCGUGAGUGAAGAAGGUUUUCGGAUCGUAAAACUCUGUUGGUAGAGAAGAACGUUGGUGAGAGUGGAAAGCUCAUCAAGUGACGGUAACUACCCAGAAAGGGACGGCUAACUACGUG
This 496-nucleotide ribosomal RNA is filed under the name uncultured bacterium. RNAcentral's name for it is "partial 16S ribosomal RNA". It matches the Rfam family "Bacterial small subunit ribosomal RNA", at positions 28 to 507 of the family's 1533-position model. The record is from RNAcentral.